UUACAGCUGAUCUUUUAUCUGCUUACGUUUCAUUAGCCGUCAAAUUUAAGAUAAGCAAUUAAUAAUAAUGGUUCUUAAAGUCAAUUUGGUCUGUCAAAUCCAUGAAGCAGCCGGUAUUUAAUUGUAUACUUUGAAUUUCAACCUGAGAUACAAAAGACGUAAGCAAAAGUUCCAUUGAAGUGGACAAAUUUUAUUUCAAACAAUUACAGCAGUAUCAAGGAAUAUCCUUGCAUGAAGCCAUCAACUUGUUUUCUUCUUGAAUAAGGUAGUAAACCAAACUUUAAUACUAGUGGAAUAUACGUAGGAUAUUUUUUCCUUGGGACAGAACUUUCUUCAGAGCAAACUAUAUAGGUGACAAGCUUAUCAAUUAAAUAAAGCAGAAGAAUCAACAAUUUUCCCGCCUGAUAACUAUUAAUUAGUCAAGAGAAAUAAAGAACUACUUGGGCGGUCAUUAACUAUUGAAAACUACGAAGCUUGAGUAAGUCAAAAGAAGUUUAAAAAAUGAUGGAAACACAUAAAAGUGGGCCAUUUUAUGCAAGAAAAGUUAACGAACAUGUUACAAGGUCACAUCUGAGCAUGUGUACACGUCCCAAUUCAAUAUAUUACUAUAUUCCUUUCGUGAUUAUAAUAUAGUUAUGUGGUGACGAACAAAAAUUAUGCAACUAGCUAGACAUCGUUCACAUGACAAUAUAAUUAUGACACAGUAUGCCCUUAACAUUAGGAUAUGACUUUUUAUUUGGUGGUCCUCAAAAUUGCAUGUGAUUAAACAAUAUCAGAAUUGGUCAAGCUACACGUUAAAAAAUAUACUUCCUUUUGUUCCAGUUUAAACAUAUUUCUUUUUUGGUCUGUUUCAAAAAAUAACUGUUAUCUAAAUUUUGAAAAUAAUUUAAUUUAGACUUACAAUUCUACCCUUAAUGAGAAACUUUUAUUACCACACAAAUACUCUAGGUCCCUUUUUGAUUUAAUUUAGGAUCACAAAUUCCAAAAUUUUUUAUUUUUUCUCAAAUUCCAUGCCCAGUCAAACAUGUUCACAUAAAAUGAAACAGAGGGCGGGAGUACUCCACAGAGAUCUGGUCCAACCUCACUGUGCGAUUAGUUUUAGAAAAAGAAAAUAUUUUUCAAACAUAUAUAUAGAGACUUUAAUUCUAAAUCAUUGAGUUUUUACCUAUGAUCUAUGGAUCGACCGGGGGGGACCUCGAGCUGUAUCUAAUCAAGAUCAGUAGUGUAGGAAUAAAAUUCUUUCAACUAUAGAAAGGAAAUGUGGACCACUUAAUAAAGUCAAGAUUCACACCCUUUAUACUGGCCAAAUGCACUAAGAUACAGAGUAACUAUAGCCAGAACAUGACAAACUUCAACAAUAAUCCAAUAUAAUUUUACGGGUAAAAUUUGGAGUGAGUAGGCAUACCGUACCCCUAUCUGGAGAGAUAUAAAGACUACUUCCAAUAGAAUUUCGAUUCAAGACAAAGUGAAAAGAACAUGGCAAACUUCCCAUCAAGAAAUUUCAACAGUAAAUGUCCAUAAAUUACCAAAAAUAGGUUGUCCAAAAUACACCACUCUAGGUAAUAUAGAUCAGCAGAAAUCUCAAAUCCGACUAUCAAUACUAUUCUUUUCGGUCCACUUCAAUUAAUGUUGCUUUCACAUAUAUUAAAAAUUUUACCUUUUAACACUAAUUAACAAUAAAAAUAAUUAUAUUAACAUUAAUUUGUUUAUUGAAAAUAUAACAAAUACUCCUGAUCUUUAUUCCAAGGAAAACUUUGGUAAAAAUAAUUAAUUCCUUCUUAAUACUCUAAGAAAAUCAAAUAUUAUGAACUACAAGGAAAAUGCCAAAAAAUCAAUUAAAGUGAACCACAAAAAAUAUAAAAAAAUAAACAUUAAAAAUUACAUAUUUGGCUAGAUCUUGUUCCAUCCACAUUUCAGUCCCAAUCGGAGCAUCAAUACAUUAAAUCAUAGCAUAAAACAAGAACGCUUGUAAAUUUUUAGAUUUGAAUAUAAGUGGCACUCAGUACCAUAGAUCCAUAGCUACUGUAUACAAAAUGCACAUCAAAAUUUCUUCCUUAAACUGUUCCAAUUCUCUCCCUAUGUAAAUAGAUCACCAUAAACAGAAAAUGAAGGAAAAAAAAGAUAGAGAGAGAAAAAGGAAAGUACCUGACACAGCUUAACUCUUUCUUCCUUAAAUUGUUCCAAUUCUCUCCCUAUGUAAAUGUUAUUUGUUGAGAGGCUCCAAUGGAUUGGAGCUUUCUCUGAUGAAUUUUAGAGGAAUGAGAAGAAGGGGAAGGUAAUGGGUAUUUAAGCUUUUUAGUUUCCCUCCUCCGUAUUGAAUGGCCUACGCAACGGUGGAGCAA
This 2342-nucleotide long non-coding RNA is filed under the name Nicotiana benthamiana. RNAcentral describes it as "long non-coding RNA (NBEN_LNC020485)". Lineage: Eukaryota; Viridiplantae; Streptophyta; Magnoliopsida; Solanales; Solanaceae. The record is from RNAcentral.